This 253-nucleotide ribosomal RNA is filed under the name uncultured bacterium. RNAcentral's name for it is "partial 16S ribosomal RNA". It matches the Rfam family "Bacterial small subunit ribosomal RNA", at positions 524 to 776 of the family's 1533-position model. The record is from RNAcentral.
AACGGGGGGGGCAAGCGUUAUUCGUCGUUAUUGGGCGUAAAGGGUACGUAGGUGGGUUUAUUAUUUUCUUAGCCAAAGGACAACGGUUUUACGUUGUCAGUGCUGUUUAAAGAAAAGACCUAGAGACUGUAAAAGGUUAGAAGAAUUACUAAAGUAGGGGUAAAAUGUGCUGAUCUUAGUACGAAUACCGCAUGCGCAGGCAUCUUUCUUAGCAGUCUGACACUGAGGUACGAAAGCAUGGGGAUCAAACAGG